RNAcentral lists this ribosomal RNA (1542 nucleotides) under Escherichia coli. Its description in RNAcentral is "bacterial SSU rRNA". It matches the Rfam family "Bacterial small subunit ribosomal RNA". The record is from RNAcentral. Lineage: Bacteria; Pseudomonadati; Pseudomonadota; Gammaproteobacteria; Enterobacterales; Enterobacteriaceae.
AAAUUGAAGAGUUUGAUCAUGGCUCAGAUUGAACGCUGGCGGCAGGCCUAACACAUGCAAGUCGAACGGUAACAGGAAGCAGCUUGCUGCUUCGCUGACGAGUGGCGGACGGGUGAGUAAUGUCUGGGAAACUGCCUGAUGGAGGGGGAUAACUACUGGAAACGGUAGCUAAUACCGCAUAACGUCGCAAGACCAAAGAGGGGGACCUUCGGGCCUCUUGCCAUCGGAUGUGCCCAGAUGGGAUUAGCUUGUUGGUGGGGUAACGGCUCACCAAGGCGACGAUCCCUAGCUGGUCUGAGAGGAUGACCAGCCACACUGGAACUGAGACACGGUCCAGACUCCUACGGGAGGCAGCAGUGGGGAAUAUUGCACAAUGGGCGCAAGCCUGAUGCAGCCAUGCCGCGUGUAUGAAGAAGGCCUUCGGGUUGUAAAGUACUUUCAGCGGGGAGGAAGGGAGUAAAGUUAAUACCUUUGCUCAUUGACGUUACCCGCAGAAGAAGCACCGGCUAACUCCGUGCCAGCAGCCGCGGUAAUACGGAGGGUGCAAGCGUUAAUCGGAAUUACUGGGCGUAAAGCGCACGCAGGCGGUUUGUUAAGUCAGAUGUGAAAUCCCCGGGCUCAACCUGGGAACUGCAUCUGAUACUGGCAAGCUUGAGUCUCGUAGAGGGGGGUAGAAUUCCAGGUGUAGCGGUGAAAUGCGUAGAGAUCUGGAGGAAUACCGGUGGCGAAGGCGGCCCCCUGGACGAAGACUGACGCUCAGGUGCGAAAGCGUGGGGAGCAAACAGGAUUAGAUACCCUGGUAGUCCACGCCGUAAACGAUGUCGACUUGGAGGUUGUGCCCUUGAGGCGUGGCUUCCGGAGCUAACGCGUUAAGUCGACCGCCUGGGGAGUACGGCCGCAAGGUUAAAACUCAAAUGAAUUGACGGGGGCCCGCACAAGCGGUGGAGCAUGUGGUUUAAUUCGAUGCAACGCGAAGAACCUUACCUGGUCUUGACAUCCACAGAACCCUGUAGAGAUACGGGGGUGCCUUCGGGAACUGUGAGACAGGUGCUGCAUGGCUGUCGUCAGCUCGUGUUGUGAAAUGUUGGGUUAAGUCCCGCAACGAGCGCAACCCUUAUCCUUUGUUGCCAGCGGUCCGGCCGGGAACUCAAAGGAGACUGCCAGUGAUAAACUGGAGGAAGGUGGGGAUGACGUCAAGUCAUCAUGGCCCUUACGACCAGGGCUACACACGUGCUACAAUGGCGCAUACAAAGAGAAGCGACCUCGCGAGAGCAAGCGGACCUCAUAAAGUGCGUCGUAGUCCGGAUUGGAGUCUGCAACUCGACUCCAUGAAGUCGGAAUCGCUAGUAAUCGUGGAUCAGAAUGCCACGGUGAAUACGUUCCCGGGCCUUGUACACACCGCCCGUCACACCAUGGGAGUGGGUUGCAAAAGAAGUAGGUAGCUUAACCUUCGGGAGGGCGCUUACCACUUUGUGAUUCAUGACUGGGGUGAAGUCGUAACAAGGUAACCGUAGGGGAACCUGCGGUUGGAUCACCUCCUUA